UAAGUUUUAAUUUCUAACAAGCCUUUUCAAUUUAAAAGUGUACAAGUAAACACACAAAGGCUGUUAAUGAAGUAUUUAAAGCAUGGUUACUCAUACUAAACUCCUCACCCCUUUCUCCGAGUCAUGGUAGAAUAUGAACCUGGAAAUUAAGUUAGUGCACCUGCAGGAACCUUGAACAAGAAAGACAUAGAGCUAAGACUCCAUUCAUCCAACCAAGGCCUGGGGACCUGCACUUUUAGACAGCUAUCAGACUGAUGUAUCUUUACCAUGCCUAUCAGGACACCAGCCUCCUUCCCCAUCAUUAUACAUGAAUUUGCAUCCUCGGAAUCCUCAGCAUCACCAAGGAUAUCAGAUGCUGCCCUAUGCUCUACAGAUUAACCUUUACAAGGAACCAAUCUUGCUGGUGAUCUGGAGCAGCUAGAAGAUCUAGCCAGACCUAUGACUUCAGGAGCAGAAGAUGAUCCAACGCAGGAGAUGCUGUUCUUUAUAGACAGCUCUUCACAGACCUGUUGAAGAGUCAGCAGAAGAACCAGAUGAUCCUAAGUUCAGAGACGCUGAUCAUUGUGGAGCAGCUCUUUACAGACCUGAUGUGGAAUCAGCAGCAGAAUCAGAUAAUCCUGAAUCAGAUAAGUUCGGAGACCCUGCUCUUUGUAGAGCAGCUCUUUAGAGACCUGAUGUCAAAUCAGCAGCAAACCAAGAUAAGCCUGAUUCAGGAGACACUGCUCCUUAUAGAGCAGCUCUUCACAGACCUGUUGUAGAAGCAGCAGAAGCAGAAGAUGAUCUUGAAUUCCUGCUAUUUAUAGACAGCUCUUCACAGACCUGUCAUAAGUCCAGCAAAGGAAGCAGCUGAGAAAGCAUAAAAAGCAUCUCAGAUUGUAGGAGCAGCUAAAAUAGCAGAGACUCAAGGAGCAACUACAAAUGCAGUAAAAACAUCUCAGAUUGUAGGAGCAGCUAAAGUAGCAGAGACUCUGGGAGCAGCUCAAAUAGCAAAGAAAGACACCGAGAUUGCUGUAGAAGCAUUUCAGAUUGUAGGUGCAGCUAAAGUAGUGGAGACUCAGGUAGCAGCUAGGAUUACAGUAGAAGCUGCAAAUUAUCAGUAGUAAAUGAGGAGCUGUUGUUGAGAGAUUGCUAGGAGAUAUAUUUGAGUCUGAGGAAGCUGCUCAGAGAGAUCCUGAACUGGAGCAGCUGAAAAAGAUAUUUGAGGUUGAGGAUGCUCCUCACAGAGAUCCUGAAUCGGAGUAGCUUAAUAAGAUAUUUGAGUUCAAGGAAGCUGCUCUAAUAAAUCCUGAUCCGGAGCAGCUGAAUGAGAUAAUUGAGGUUGAGGAAGCUGUAGCAGCUGAACAAGGUAUUUAUUAUUAGUAAGCCUCAGUGACGACAUCUCUAUUAAUUAGUAAACAUGACAGAUAUUCAGAGAGAGAAAGAUUAUAAAGGGAUUUUAAGAGUACUUGGAUCCAAGGUGAAAGCUGCCCUUGGUAGAAGUAAAAAUAAAAAUAAAAAUUUGUCUGCAUUGUAUUGAUAUGAAAUGACAGCUCUAGUUGAAUACAACUUAAUGUUUAUCAACCAUCUUUUUUAAAUUUUUUAUUAUCUUCUACAUGCUAGAUCAAGUCAGUCUGGUUAAAUCUUGCUGGAAAAAUGAUGAGACUAUGGCAUUAAUGUUUCCUCAAUCACCUGUGACAAACCGGUUGUAAAUGUAUCCAUGCUGAAAAAGCUAGUUGUCAGCCUGAAUACUGACAACAUUAAUUCAGAAAUAGCAAACUCAAAUUGGCAACCCUGCUCCAAACAGACAUCUAGACAUUUGUCACAUGCUGAAGAAUGUCAGAAAUGUAUGGAAGAAAUGUUAUGAAAUUGUGGAUGCUGAGAGAGAUGUCAUUUCAUGGAAAUAUGUGGUUCUUCAGCUAGAUCUCCAAUCCAAUCAAACAUUUCACCUCUAAUGCUUUAAUACUACUUUUUUACUUAUGUAAAUAUGCAGAAACGCAGGUUUCAUAAUUCAAUUGAUAAACUUUUUCUCAGAAUUGUUUUUUUUCGGCGGCAGCCCUCCUUUCAACAUCUUUUGACAGGUGUGGUGUGGGGGAUAGAACCCUACUAGAUUCAAGUAAACGGUAAUUUACAAGGCAAAAUCAGGGACAAAUUUGUAAUGACGAUCUUCUUCAAACUAAAUUUGUUGGUUUCCUACUCAACAAGGCAUCAGUAGAAAAGAUAUUUUCGAACUACCUUGAGACUGGACCCUUAGAAUAUCUCCUGACAGUGACAUUCAAGUUAGAAAUUAAAGAACUUCAAGAUGAACUUCAAGAUGAACUUCAAGAUGAACUUCAAGAUGAACUUCAAGAUGAACUUCAAGAUGAACUUCAAGAUGAACUUCAAGAUGAAUUGGAAAGUUUUGAAACAAAAUUUCUGGGUCUUAAAAUUGAGUGAUAUUUGUGAAGAGAAAACUGCAAACAACUUUAAGAUGUGAACCUUCUCUAGAAGUGGUCAACUCGAAGCCAACCUCUUUCCAAGCAAAAAAUCUUAUUGAUCCGAAGGACAGGGGGGUCUUAUAUAUGCAACAUGCAUCAAUAUUCCAAGUGCAAUCAAGAGUUCUGAAAUCAGAACAUUUUCAAAACUAAGCUUGACAAUUGGUUGAACUACUGAAGGGCCAAUGAAGAUAGAAAAGGGAUGUUUUAAAUUAUUACACCUGUGAUAUAAAAACAUUAAUACACCAAUUAAACCAAUUAAAGAAUAUUACUAUA
This 2726-nucleotide long non-coding RNA is filed under the name Eurytemora carolleeae. RNAcentral describes it as "uncharacterized LOC111701861". Lineage: Eukaryota; Metazoa; Arthropoda; Copepoda; Calanoida; Temoridae. The record is from RNAcentral.